This 477-nucleotide ribosomal RNA is filed under the name uncultured organism. RNAcentral's name for it is "partial 16S ribosomal RNA". It matches the Rfam family "Bacterial small subunit ribosomal RNA", at positions 331 to 799 of the family's 1533-position model. The record is from RNAcentral.
GUACACUCCUGCGGGAGGCAGCAGUGGGGAAUUUUGGACAAUGGGCGAAAGCCUGAUCCAGCAAUGCCGCGUGAGUGAAGAAGGCCUUCGGGUUGUAAAGCUCUUUUGUCAGGGAAGAAACGGUGAAAGCUAAUAUCUUUUGCUAAUGACGGUACCUGAAGAAUAAGCACCGGCUAACUACGUGCCAGCAGCCGCGGUAAUACGUAGGGUGCAAGCGUUAAUCGGAAUUACUGGGCGUAAAGCGUGCGCAGGCGGUUUUGUAAGUCUGAUGUGAAAUCCCCGGGCUCAACCUGGGAAUUGCAUUGGAGACUGCAAGGCUAGAAUCUGGCAGAGGGGGGUAGAAUUCCACGUGUAGUAGUGAAAUGCGUAGAUAUGUGGAGGAACACCGAUGGCGAAGGCAGCCCCCUGGGUCAAGAUUGACGCUCAUGCACGAAAGCGUGGGGAGCAAACAGGAUUAGAUACCCGAGUAGUCCCAUG